RNAcentral lists this transfer RNA (95 nucleotides) under Chloroflexota bacterium. RNAcentral's name for it is "tRNA-Sec". It matches the Rfam family "Selenocysteine transfer RNA". Lineage: Bacteria; Bacillati; Chloroflexota. The record is from RNAcentral.
GGGAGCGGAUGGGUCCUGGUGGGCUUCGCGGGCUUCAAACCCGUUGGUGGGUGCCCUUCGGCAUCCACGGUAGGUUCGACUCCUACCCGCUCCCG